RNAcentral lists this ribosomal RNA (1343 nucleotides) under uncultured bacterium. RNAcentral describes it as "16S ribosomal RNA". It matches the Rfam family "Bacterial small subunit ribosomal RNA", at positions 28 to 1378 of the family's 1533-position model. The record is from RNAcentral.
GACGAACGCUGGCGGCGUGCUUAACACAUGCAAGUCGAACGGAAAGGCCCUGCUUUUGUGGGGUGCUCGAGUGGCGAACGGGUGAGUAACACGUGAGUAACCUGCCCUUGACUUUGGGAUAACUUCAGGAAACUGGGGCUAAUACCGGAUAGGAGCUCCUGCUGCAUGGUGGGGGUUGGAAAGUUUCGGCGGUUGGGGAUGGACUCGCGGCUUAUCAGCUUGUUGGUGGGGUAGUGGCUUACCAAGGCUUUGACGGGUAGCCGGCCUGAGAGGGUGACCGGCCACAUUGGGACUGAGAUACGGCCCAGACUCCUACGGGAGGCAGCAGUGGGGAAUAUUGCACAAUGGGCGGAAGCCUGAUGCAGCAACGCCGCGUGCGGGAUGACGGCCUUCGGGUUGUAAACCGCUUUCGCCUGUGACGAAGCGUGAGUGACGGUAAUGGGUAAAGAAGCACCGGCUAACUACGUGCCAGCAGCCGCGGUGAUACGUAGGGUGCGAGCGUUGUCCGGAUUUAUUGGGCGUAAAGGGCUCGUAGGUGGUUGAUCGCGUCGGAAGUGUAAUCUUGGGGCUUAACCCUGAGCGUGCUUUCGAUACGGGUUGACUUGAGGAAGGUAGGGGAGAAUGGAAUUCCUGGUGGAGCGGUGGAAUGCGCAGAUAUCAGGAGGAACACCAGUGGCGAAGGCGGUUCUCUGGGCCUUUCCUGACGCUGAGGAGCGAAAGCGUGGGGAGCGAACAGGCUUAGAUACCCUGGUAGUCCACGCUGUAAACGGUGGGUACUAGGUGUGGGGUCCAUUCCACGGGUUCCGUGCCGUAGCUAACGCUUUAAGUACCCCGCCUGGGGAGUACGGCCGCAAGGCUAAAACUCAAAGGAAUUGACGGGGCCCCGCACAAGCGGCGGAGCAUGCGGAUUAAUUCGAUGCAACGCGUAGAACCUUACCUGGGUUUGACAUGGAUCGGGAGUGCUCAGAGAUGGGUGUGCCUCUUUUGGGGUCGGUUCACAGGUGGUGCAUGCCUGUCGUCAGCUCGUGUCGUGAGAUGUUGGGUUAAGUCCCGCAACGAGCGCAACCCUUGUUCACUGUUGCCAGCACGUUAUGGUGGGGACUCAGUGGAGACCGCCGGGGUCAACUCGGAGGAAGGUGGGGAUGACGUCAAGUCCUCAUGCCCCUUAUGUCCAGGGCUUCACGCAUGCUACAAUGGCUGGUACAGAGAGUGGCGAGCCUGUGAGGGUGAGCGAAUCUCGGAAAGCCGGUCUCAGUUCGGAUUGGGGUCAGCAACUCGACCUCAUGAAGUCGGAGUCGCUAGUAAUCGCAAAUCAGCAACGCUGCGGUGAAUACGUUCCCGGG